UCCACCCAGGGAGAAGCCAGAGCGUUCACUGCUCAGUGGGUAGGCCUGGCCAGCUUCCCACGGCUUCUCCUGCCUCCGGAACCCAUAGGCAAUCGUGUGUGCACUGGGUAUCUCUUAUCUCAUAUAUCAACCAUUCGUUCAUCAUCAUUUUUGGUCUUGGAUUCAUCGUUCUGUUUUCUGUUCUUUCGUCCCUCACCCGAACCCGGACAGAUGCAAGUAUAACUGCCUGGGCAGCCACAUCCACAGCGGUGGUGCAUAAGUAAGAAAUCAAAUAAAAUUUUCUGGAACCGUUAUGAGUCUACCUCUCCCUCUCACAAACUAACAUCAGAGGAUAGAACCCACCGGGGCAAUAGUCACAACCUGGCUCAUGCCCUGCACACCUCCCAGGACUCCCCAUUGCACAGGUAUGAAAAUGGCUGUUGCUUUACCACCUACAACAAAGUUUCACUCAACCCUCAGCAAUAUGUUAUAGAAGAAAUUCCAGUUGUAAUUCCUGAGUCUGCUUUGUGUGAUGGACCUAGAAAUGUGUUACGUCAGGGGAGAAUUAACUGGAAGCAUUUCUUUCAGCUACCCAAAAGAAAGGAGUAUGUACAUCACUAUUCAGUGUUUAUGGUUGGAGGAAAUCAUACAAGUGGUUAGGAAGUUCCUCAGCAACUGCAUAACAUGUGGCCAGUAAACCCGGACUCAGCAGUAAAAAUUUAGAACAGACAGUAUAAUUCAGUAUUUCAAGAGCCAAGAAAUCUCUUACUUUAUGGAGCUAAUCUGCCAUUCCUGGAGUGCAAGUAACUUGUAAUUUUCAGUAAAUGCAGUCCCUUCAUAAAGUUUCAUUUGUAUCUUCAAAUGUUAAUACUGGCAUGCAACCAUUUAUAUUUUACUUAUUUUUCCAGCAUAGUCACUUCUGCCAUGCCUAAAGUAAGAUUUUCCAAUAUGUCUAUAAUCUAAAUGUCUAGCAAUAUUACAGCUGUCAAAUCAGAAUGGAAUUGCUUGAUGGUUUUAUCCGCAAAAGCAGA
RNAcentral lists this long non-coding RNA (1010 nucleotides) under Crocodylus porosus (Australian saltwater crocodile). RNAcentral's name for it is "lncRNA (ENSCPRG00005018871.1)". Lineage: Eukaryota; Metazoa; Chordata; Crocodylia; Crocodylidae. The record is from RNAcentral.